Long non-coding RNA from Strigops habroptila (Kakapo), 257 nucleotides. RefSeq lists it as uncharacterized. The record is from RefSeq and is a predicted model, not a curated record. Lineage: Eukaryota; Metazoa; Chordata; Aves; Psittaciformes; Psittacidae. The transcript has 2 exons.
AGUACUGGGAGCUGCUCUAAGGUGUCCCCUUCAGGAGCCUUCUCUUCUCCAGGCUGACCCAGCCCAGGUCUCUCAGCCUGUCGCCAUAGGAGAGCUGCUCCAGCCCUUGCAUCAUCUCCAUGGCCUCCUCUGGACUCACUCCAACACCUCCACGUCCUUCUUACAUUGGGGGGCCCAGAGCUGGAUGCGGGACUGCAGGGGGGGUCUCACGAGAACAGAGUAGAAGGGGAGAAUCCCUUCUCUAGACCUGCUGCUCA